CUGACUGCUAUCGGAUGAUACUAAGCCAUGCGAGUCUUUGCAGUAAUGCAAGGCAUACGGCUCAGUAACACGUAGUCAACCUACCCUAUGGACGAGAAUAAUCUCGGGAAACUGGGCAUAAUUCUUGAUAGAUCAUAAUGCCUGGAAUGGUUUAUGGUUAAAAUGAUUCGUCGCCAUAGGAUGGGACUGCGGCCUAUCAGCUUGUUGGUGAGGUAAUGGCCCACCAAGGCGAUUACAGGUACGGGCUCUGAGAGGAGAAGCCCGGAGAUGGGUACUGAGACACGGACCCAGGCCCUAUGGGGCGCAGCAGGCGAGAAAACUUUGCAAUGUGCGAAAGCACGACAAGGUUAAUCCGAGUGAUUUCUGCUAAAGAAAUCUUUUGCCAGUCAUAAAACCACUGGUGAAUAAGGGGUGGGCAAGUUCUGGUGUCAGCCGCCGCGGUAAAACCAGCACCUCAAGUGGUCAGGAUGAUUAUUGGGCCUAAAGCAUCCGUAGCCGGCUUUGUAAGUUUUCGGUUAAAUCCAUGUGCUCAACGCAUGGGCUGCCGAAAAUACUGCAUGGCUAGGGAGUGGGAGAGGUAGACGGUACUCAGUAGGAAGGGGUAAAAUCCUUUGAUCUAUUGAUGACCACCUGUGGCGAAGGCGGUCUACCAGAACACGUUCGACGGUGAGGGAUGAAAGCUGGGGGAGCAAACCGGAUUAGAUACCCGGGUAGUCCCAGCUGUAAACGAUGCAGACUCGAUGAUGCAUUGGCAUAAUAGCCAGUGCAGUG
Molecule: ribosomal RNA, 771 nt
Filed under: uncultured marine group I thaumarchaeote
Lineage: Archaea; Thermoproteati; Nitrososphaerota
Description: SSU rRNA
Rfam family: Archaeal small subunit ribosomal RNA
Source: RNAcentral